GAUAAGUUCAUUCCAUAUAUAAAGAACAACCCGCUCCUUUCAUUCGCAAACUAGGGUUUCCAACAUUGAGCGUCUUCUCCAAGCUUCCUCUCUCAAUCUCAAACGUCUGAUAAGGUGAAUGAUUGAGGGCUCAUUCUUUCCUUUUCAAUGUCGCAACAUAUUUCGCUUCGAUUUGUUCAAAUCACAAGUUCUAAUGUGUUGUUUUGAUAUUGAUGAUAUAUACUGUAAAUGUCUUGCUGAUCAUAUCAGGUUCUAAUGUUACUUUCAUGCUAUAUCAUCAUUUUUCACAUAAUCACAUUCAAUUGUUAUUCACCAGGUUCAAAAUGUUGCUUGAAUAGUGCAUGUUUACUGUUUGAUGAAAUUCCUUUGAGAGACAUUUGUUUUAUUUAUUAGGUUUUGUCAAUCUUUCUUUGAGUUCAUCAUUUUUUAUCACUUGAUUGAUGUUUAUCGUGAAUGUUGCGGCAUAAUAUUGGUGACACAUUUUGUUGCUGAGAAUCUUAUGCUGAAAAGGGGAGAAAACAAGGAGAUUUCUAUGGCAUAGAGGCUUAAUCGUAAUAAUGUCAUUGAGAUACUAGGAUAUUGUGUAGAUGGUGGUUCGAGAUUACUUGCUUACGAGUACGCUUGAAAUGGAAUGUUGUUCAAUGUAAAACCAUCUUUCAUGGUCAAGUAUAUGUGUGUGAAUGGGAACCAUCCUUUGAUGUACGCUCAGAGCCCAACCAAAUUUCAAGCAUCUUAACAUCAUAAUCUUACAUAUAUAUGAUAAGGCUUUAAUCAAGAAAUUGUUUCCUCUUGCAAUGGUUGUUGGAGUUGUUAUUCUAUAUUUUGGGUCACGAAGAAAAUUUAUUGAUCGGUUUGUUUCAUAGAAUACCAUUAAAUUCAGUCAUAAAACCGAUGUUUUUGGGUUACAAGAUUCAAUAUUCGGGGAGUAAACGCAGUCACUCUAAUCUGGGUUGCAUGCGCCUUCAAGAUUAGAAGGUAUCCCCUAAUCGCGACCGGAUUUACCCAAAACCUCACAUUUGAUGAAGGAGAGGAUUUUAGUGACUUGGCAGUGGAAUAUUGAGUUUGUCCAUCCAAGAAGGAAGAUGGCAUGCUUGGUUGGGUGAGAAAGGGCCAGAUGGUGCCAGAGUUUUAGCAAGAUGCAUUUAACGCCCCAUUAAACAAGAACGUAUGGAGUGGAAUGUCUGGAGUUAGUUUGACUUGAGCAGGGUUGGUUGGUAAGCUGGUGCAAGGGUCCAACCUUCUUUAGAGUCUUUAAGACUGGAGGGUAUGGAGAGCCUCAUCCCCAAGGGGAUGGGCUGCCACAUCACCGCCACGUAAGCGGGGCUUGAGGGGGAUGGACCUAGGGGGUGGGGGAUGAACCCCUUUAUAUAUAUGUAUGUAUGUAUAGUUAUAUGUGAGAGAAGGAGGCACAACGAGUCCGGCUUGUGGGAGACGGAUGGGACGAGCCGACCCUAUGGGGGGCGGUGUGGGGGACCGGCGCCGGGCCAGGCCGGGCCUAAGCCGCCCCCAUACCCUUUAGUCUAAGUGACCCACCAUAGCUAUACAUGCCAUUAUGCACUUCUUUUGGGAUGUGCAUUGCAUCUGGAAGUCUUCUGAGUUCAAUAAUGGACGACCUUUAGCUUCUUUUGCUAGAAUCCUGAGCCUUGGAAUUGGAGAUAUUAUGGAUGACUUGAAUGAUUUAUAGGAAUCUAUGGUUGGGCAUGAGUAUGGUGUUCUUCGGUGGAGUAAAGCAGGCAGCAAAACUACUAGAAUAACGUUUUUCCAACCUGCUUGAUCUGCCAUGCUUCCACUUCUUGCUGCCACAGGACCGAUUUCACUCAGGUGGGUCUUUUUAGAAGAUCGCUUUCAUUCAAGAUUGUUGGUGGUACAUGAGCUAGACAAAGUCGGAAGAUAUUUCGUUCAGUGACGAUUGUUUUUUCAACUGGUCUACAAGGAAUGCCAGGUUAUUGGUUACGAAGCUCCAAAAAGCAAAAUUAUUAGAUUAAUAGGUUAUUCAUUGUUAUUUCGCACAAGAGACACUUAAUUUCAACGUUUAUUUAUGUUUUCAUUAUGAUUAUAUCCAUAGUACGUGGAUUGUCUUAUUUACUUUAUGAACCUUUUGCAUUCGAUAACAAUUUCUUUUAAAGAUUUUCGAUAUGUUCGUUAUAAACAUGUAAUGUUCUGUCA
This 2166-nucleotide long non-coding RNA is filed under the name Helianthus annuus (common sunflower). Lineage: Eukaryota; Viridiplantae; Streptophyta; Magnoliopsida; Asterales; Asteraceae. The record is from RNAcentral.